ACUCAAAGGAAUAGACGGGGACCCGCACAAGCGGUGGAUGAUGUGGAUUAAUUCGAUGCAACGCGAAAAACCUUACCUACCCUUGACAUGUCUGGAAUCCUGAAGAGAUUUGGGAGUGCUCGAAAGAGAGCCAGAACACAGGUGCUGCAUGGCUGUCGUCAGCUCGUGUCGUGAGAUGUUGGGUUAAGUCCCGCAACGAGCGCAACCCUUGUCAUUAAUUGCCAGCAUUUAGUUGGGCACUUUAAUGAGACUGCCGGUGACAAACCGGAGGAAGGUGGGGAUGACGUCAAGUCCUCAUGGCCCUUAUGGGUAGGGCUUCACACGUCAUACAAUGGUGCAUACAGAGGGCUGCCAAGUCGUGAGACGGAGCAAAUCCCAGAAAGUGCAUCGUAGUCCGGAUUGAAGUCUGCAACUCGACUUCAUGAAGUUGGAAUCGCUAGUAAUCGCGGAUCAGCAUGUCGCGGUGAAUACGUUCCCGGGUCUUGUACACACCGCCCGU
Molecule: ribosomal RNA, 499 nt
Filed under: uncultured bacterium
Lineage: Bacteria
Description: bacterial SSU rRNA
Rfam family: Bacterial small subunit ribosomal RNA
Source: RNAcentral